GCAGGCAUGGCCUGCCGAAGGCUGGGUUGCCUCAUCCCAGCUCCCCUGCCAUCAGUGGAUCUGUAGGGACAGCGGAGCCCAGGCUGCGGAGUGGGCUCUUACCCUGUGCAGUACAGGGCAGGCUGGGAAGACCAUGGCUGGCUUGCUAGGGCCCAGAAUCCAGGGGUUAUUCCUUCUCCUCGCUAGGGUCGGUCCUGGGGAUCCGCCAAGGUGUCCGGCCAUCAGGUGGGGUGGGAAGCCUGGGCAUGUGCUGCAGCCUGGAUGACAAGUGUGUCCACAGGCAGCCGGACUAGGUAAUUUCCUAGCCCGAGUGGCACCCACACCACUCGCUGGUGUGGAUGGAAGGCUUUUAUGGAAUUCUGCGUGUUCCUAUGAUGAUGAGUCAGACCAGCUUCCCGAUGGCCUUUGGCUUGCUGGUCUGGUACUCGAUGAGAGCCAGAAGCGGUAUGGAAACCAGCCAGUCGGGGUUAUCUCAGCCAUCCCUUGACUGUCUUCAGAAAGUGCCCCUGGAAGGGAGUGUCCUGCACAGUGCUCCUCGCCAUCCACCUUGGAGGACGGAACCGCGGCGUGCCAGAUCCCUGUAGGAGCACAGGCUGGCCUUAGGCUGUGGCAAACCAGCCAGCAUUGCCUUUGAAGUUAGGGCUAGGGAAGCCGGAUUCUGGGAAGAUAGUGGUGGCAUCCCCGCAGCCACACAACUAGGCUACAGAACCUAAAACCACGGGUAAGCUGAACUGUAUGCUUUAAAGUCGCAAGAACAGCCACGCUUGUUGUAUGAACAAGAAGGACAUCCAGUGGACAUCGUUUAUGAUAAAGCCAGGUGAUAAGUGCCUCUUGGGAGACAAGCAUAGGUCAAACCACCAAGAGCCAUAAGAUGCAUGUGACCCGCAGGUUCUCAGUGUUGGAAGGGAGGCAGGGGUUGAGAGCAGCAAAACAGGCUGGGCUGGCCACUCUCCUGUAACCCCCAUGGCUGACCAGCGCAGAGCUCUAUGGACAGGUCUAGGAGAAGCAGAAUGGGCCCUUAGAACCCUAAACUGACUGCCAGGACUCCCUCCUAGAAAGGUCCCUGCCGCAGUCUGGCUGGGCACACAAUCACGAGCCACCACACAGCUUGUAGAUUCAAACAGCAACUCUUUAUUCCCGAACUCACACCAGCACUCUACAAUCACGUUCUGGGGAAAUCCACGUUCUCUGCCCAAAUCCACCCCCACUGGGCUUCUGUCUCCCAAAAAAUACUGUCUGAAUCCCUUGAGAACUCAAGGGGAACUCAGGCAGCAGGAUAUGCCCUAUUCCCAGCAGGAAUAACCUUAAACCUGGAACCACCCUAAACCCAGAUUGUCCUAAACCGGGAACACCCUAAACCCGGAUCCGCCCUGGUCCUUGAGCAAGGUCACCUUACAUGCAAUGUCACUGCAAAAUGUCCUAUUUCCACGAGUCCUUCCACUAAGCAACAUGGGGUACGCUGGCAAGGAAAUUGUCAUACCUACUUGGCUAAUGGCUCCCAGCAGGUCCCCUGCUGAGGAAUAUAGAUUCAGAGGAGGGGCGAGCCCAGGUGGGUGCAGGACCCUUGAGAGCAGGUGCACAUGUGUCUCAGACCCCACCAAAGAUACAGAAGAGGGAGCUCUGAGCUAGAGACCACCUUCUUCUGAAAGCUGGAAACAUUUU
Molecule: long non-coding RNA, 1662 nt
Filed under: Marmota monax (woodchuck)
Lineage: Eukaryota; Metazoa; Chordata; Mammalia; Rodentia; Sciuridae
Source: RNAcentral